GAUGAACGCUAGCGGCAGGCCUAAUACAUGCAAGUCGGACGGGAUUCAGGAGCUUGCUUCUGAUGAGAGUGGCGCACGGGUGCGUAACACGUAUGUAACCUACCUUUAUCAGGGGGAUAGCCUCUCGAAAGAGAGAUUAAGCCCGCAUAAAAUCACAGCACAGCAUUGUGUAAUGAUCAAAUAUUUAUAGGAUAAAGAUGGGCAUGCGGAACAUUAGCUAGAUGGCGGGGUAACGGCCCACCAUGGCGACGAUGUUUAGGGGAUCUGAGAGGAUGGCCCCCCACACUGGGACUGAGACACGGACCAGACUCCUACGGGAGGCAGGAGUAAGGGAUAUUGGUCCAUGGGCGGAAGCCUGAACCAGCCAUGCCGCGUGCAGGAAGGCGGCCCUACGGGUUGUAAACUGCUUUUAUACGGGAAUAAACCCAGAUACGUGUAUCUGGCUGAAUGUACUGUAAGAAUAAGGAUCGGCUAACUCCGUG
RNAcentral lists this ribosomal RNA (482 nucleotides) under uncultured bacterium. RNAcentral's name for it is "partial 16S ribosomal RNA". It matches the Rfam family "Bacterial small subunit ribosomal RNA", at positions 28 to 507 of the family's 1533-position model. The record is from RNAcentral.